Molecule: ribosomal RNA, 651 nt
Filed under: Pseudomonas cremoricolorata
Lineage: Bacteria; Pseudomonadati; Pseudomonadota; Gammaproteobacteria; Pseudomonadales; Pseudomonadaceae
Description: bacterial SSU rRNA
Rfam family: Bacterial small subunit ribosomal RNA
Source: RNAcentral
GCUAAUACCGCAGACGUCCUACGGGAGAAAGCAGGGGACCUUCGGGCCUUGCGCUAUCAGAUGAGCCUAGGUCGGAUUAGCUUGUUGGUGAGGUAAUGGCUCACCAAGGCGACAAUCCGUAACUGGUCUGAGAGGAUGAUCAGUCACACUGGAACUGAGACACGGUCCAGACUCCUACGGGAGGCAGCAGUGGGGAAUAUUGGACAAUGGGCGAAAGCCUGAUCCAGCCAUGCCGCGUGUGUGAAGAAGGUCUUCGGAUUGUAAAGCACUUUAAGUUGGGAGGAAGGGUUGUAGAUUAAUACUCUGCAAUUUUGACGUUUCCGACGAAUAAGCACCGGCUAACUCUGUGCCAGCAGCCGCGGUAAUACAGAGGGUGCAAGCGUUAAUCGGAAUUACUGGGCGUAAAGCGCGCGUAGGUUGUUUGUUAAGUUGGAUGUGAAAGCCCCGGGCUCAACCUGGGAACUGCAUCCAAAACUGGCAAGCUGAGAACGGUAGAGGGUGGUGGAAUUUCCUGUGUAGCGGUGAAAUGCGUAAUUUAGGAAAGGAACACCGUGGCCAAAGCACCACCUGGACUGAUACUGACCCUGACGUGCGAAAGCGUGGGGAGCAAACGGGAAUAGAUACCCCGGUAGUCCACGCCCGUAAACAUUC